RNAcentral lists this ribosomal RNA (490 nucleotides) under uncultured bacterium. RNAcentral describes it as "partial 16S ribosomal RNA". It matches the Rfam family "Bacterial small subunit ribosomal RNA", at positions 30 to 507 of the family's 1533-position model. The record is from RNAcentral.
AUUGAACGCUGGCGGCAGGCCUAACACAUGCAAGUCGAACGGUAACAGGGAUCAGCUUGCUGAUUCGCUGACGAGUGGCGGACGGGUGAGUAAUGUCUGGGAAACUGCCUGAUGGAGGGGGAUAACUACUGGAAACGGUAGCUAAUACCGCAUAACGUCGCAAGACCAAAGAGGGGGACCUUCGGGCCUCUUGCCAUCGGAUGUGCCCAGAUGGGAUUAGCUAGUAGGUGGGGUAACGGCUCACCUAGGCGACGAUCCCUAGCUGGUCUGAGAGGAUGACCAGCCACACUGGAACUGAGACACGGUCCAGACUCCUACGGGAGGCAGCAGUGGGGAAUAUUGCACAAUGGGCGCAAGCCUGAUGCAGCCAUGCCGCGUGUAUGAAGAAGGCCUUCGGGUUGUAAAGUACUUUCAGCGGGGAGGAAGGGAGUAAAGUUAACACCUUUGCUCAUUGACGUUACCCGCAGAAGAAGCACCGGCUAACUCCGUG